Molecule: ribosomal RNA, 223 nt
Filed under: Serratia nevei
Lineage: Bacteria; Pseudomonadati; Pseudomonadota; Gammaproteobacteria; Enterobacterales; Yersiniaceae
Description: partial 16S ribosomal RNA
Rfam family: Bacterial small subunit ribosomal RNA
Source: RNAcentral
GGGAAUAUUGCACAAUGGGCGCAAGCCUGAUGCAGCCAUGCCGCGUGUGUGAAGAAGGCCUUCGGGUUGUAAAGCACUUUCAGCGAGGAGGAAGGUGGUGAGCUUAAUACGCUCAUCAAUUGACGUUACUCGCAGAAGAAGCACCGGCUAACUCCGUGCCAGCAGCCGCGGUAAUACGGAGGGUGCAAGCGUUAAUCGGAAUUACUGGGCGUAAAGCGCACGC